This 253-nucleotide ribosomal RNA is filed under the name uncultured bacterium. RNAcentral's name for it is "partial 16S ribosomal RNA". It matches the Rfam family "Bacterial small subunit ribosomal RNA", at positions 524 to 776 of the family's 1533-position model. The record is from RNAcentral.
GACGUAGGGCGCGAGCGUUGUCCGGAUUUAUUGGGCGUAAAGAGCUCGUAGGCGGCUUGUCGCGUCGAAUGUGAAAUCUCAGGGCUCAACCCUGACAUUGCAUUCGAUACGGGCAGGCUUGAGUUCGGUAGGGGAGACUGGAAUUCCUGGUGUAGCGGUGAAAUGCGCAGAUAUCAGGAGGAACACCGGUGGCGAAAGCAGCUUUCUGGGACGGUACUGACGCUGAGACGCGAAAGCGUGGGGAGCGAACAGG